RNAcentral lists this ribosomal RNA (436 nucleotides) under uncultured Nannocystineae bacterium. RNAcentral's name for it is "bacterial SSU rRNA". It matches the Rfam family "Bacterial small subunit ribosomal RNA", at positions 950 to 1382 of the family's 1533-position model. The record is from RNAcentral. Lineage: Bacteria; Pseudomonadati; Myxococcota; Myxococcia; Myxococcales.
UUCGAUGCAACGCGAAGAACCUUACCUGGGUUGGAAACCCCUGGAAUCCUGCAGAGAUGUGGGAGUGCUCUUUUAGAGAAUCAGGUGUCCAGGUGCUGCAUGGUUGUCGUCAGCUCGUGUCGUGAGAUGUUGGGUUAAGUCCCGCAACGAGCGCAACCCCUGUUGUUAGUUGCCAGCGAUUCGGUCGGGCACUCUAACGAGACUGCCGGUGGUAAGCCGGAGGAAGGUGGGGAUGACGUCAAAUCCUCAUGGCCCUUAUGCCCAGGGCUACACACGUACUACAAUGGCAGGUACAGAGGGCUGCGAAGCCGCGAGGUGGAGCGAAUCCCAGAAAACCUGUCUCAGUCCGGAUUGAAGUCUGCAACUCGACUUCAUGAAGGCGGAAUCGCUAGUAACCGCGAAUCAGCAGGUCGCGGUGAAUACGUUCCCGGGCCUU